RNAcentral lists this ribosomal RNA (253 nucleotides) under uncultured bacterium. RNAcentral's name for it is "partial 16S ribosomal RNA". It matches the Rfam family "Bacterial small subunit ribosomal RNA", at positions 524 to 776 of the family's 1533-position model. The record is from RNAcentral.
UACGAAGGGGGCUAGCGUUGCUCGGAAUCACUGGGCGUAAAGGGUGCGUAGGCGGGCCUUUAAGUCGGGGGUGAAAUCCUGGAGCUCAACUCCAGAACUGCCUUUGAUACUGAAGAUCUUGAGUUCGGGAGAGGUGAGUGGAACUGCGAGUGUAGAGGUGAAAUUCGUAGAUAUUCGCAAGAACACCAGUGGCGAAGGCGGCUCACUGGCCCGAUACUGACGCUGAGGCGCGAAAGCGUGGGGAGCAAACAGG